UACGGAGGGUGCAAGCGUUGUCCGGAAUCACUGGGCGUAAAGGGCGCGUAGGCGGCUCAUGAAGGCUGUGGUGAAAGUCCGGGGCUCAACCUCGGAUCGGCCGUGGCGACUCGUGGGCUGGAGCACUGUAGAGGCGGGUGGAAUUCCGGGUGUAGCGGUGGAAUGCGUAGAGAUCCGGAAGAACGCCAGUGGCGAAGGCGGCCCGCUGGGCAGUGGCUGACGCUGAAGCGCGACAGCGUGGGGAGCAAACAGG
Molecule: ribosomal RNA, 253 nt
Filed under: uncultured bacterium
Lineage: Bacteria
Description: partial 16S ribosomal RNA
Rfam family: Bacterial small subunit ribosomal RNA
Source: RNAcentral